Molecule: long non-coding RNA, 231 nt
Organism: Myotis brandtii (Brandt's bat)
Lineage: Eukaryota; Metazoa; Chordata; Mammalia; Chiroptera; Vespertilionidae
Exons: 2
Source: RefSeq, a predicted model, not a curated record
CAGGUUUGGUGUAUUUGUGGAACAGGACAAUCACGUCCUCACCUUCUCCUCAGAGCCUCCUCGUCAGCUUUGCUUCCUUGAAAACCAAGAUGAGCCAUACUCCAGUUGAACAGUCCGUGAUGGACUUGAUCGUCCUGUUCCACAAAUACACCAAACCUGAUGACAAGAUUGACAAGCGGGGCCUGCUGAAGAUGCUGAGGGAGAAUUUCCCUAACUUCCUCAAGGCUUGUG